UGCCAGCCGCCGCGGUAAUACAUAGGGUGCGAACGUUGCUCGGAAUCACUGGGCGUAAAGCGCGUGUAGGCGGGUUGACAAGUCAGAUGUGAAAGCCCCGGGCUCAACCUGGGAACUGCAUUUGAAACUGUCAGUCUUGAGUAAUGGAGAGGAAAGUGGAAUUCCUGGUGUAGAGGUGAAAUUCGUAGAUAUCAGGAGGAACACCGGUGGCGAAGGCGGCUUUCUGGACAUUUACUGACGCUGAGACGCGAAAGCGUGGGGAGCAAACAGGAUUAGAUA
RNAcentral lists this ribosomal RNA (279 nucleotides) under uncultured bacterium. Its description in RNAcentral is "partial 16S ribosomal RNA". It matches the Rfam family "Bacterial small subunit ribosomal RNA", at positions 506 to 784 of the family's 1533-position model. The record is from RNAcentral.